GUAGGGAAUAUUGCGCAAUGGGGGAAACCCUGACGCAGCGACGCCGCGUGAGUGAUGAAGGCCUUCGGGUCGUAAAGCUCUGUUGCAGGGGAAUAAAAAAAUGAAGGUACCCUGUGAGGAAGGAUCGGCUAACUUCGUGCCAGCAGCCGCGGUAAGACGAGGGAUCCUAGCGUUGCUCGGAAUCAUUGGGCGUAAAGAGGGCGUAGGUGGCUUGGUAAGUCAGAGGUGAAAGCCCAGGGCUCAACCCUGGAAGUGCAUUUGAUACUGCUGAGCUUGAGUGUCGGAGAGGUUACCGGAAUACCUGGUGUAGUGGUGAAAUACGUAGAUAUCAGGUGGAACACCGGAGGCGAAGGCGGGUAACUGGACGAACACUGACACUGAGGCCCGAAAGCGUGGGGAUCAAACAGGAUUAGAUACCCCUGUAGUCC
RNAcentral lists this ribosomal RNA (428 nucleotides) under uncultured bacterium. RNAcentral's name for it is "partial 16S ribosomal RNA". It matches the Rfam family "Bacterial small subunit ribosomal RNA", at positions 354 to 796 of the family's 1533-position model. The record is from RNAcentral.